Molecule: ribosomal RNA, 423 nt
Filed under: uncultured bacterium
Lineage: Bacteria
Description: bacterial SSU rRNA
Rfam family: Bacterial small subunit ribosomal RNA
Source: RNAcentral
AGGACCUUGUGCUUUUGGAGCGGCCGAUGCCUGAUUAGCUAGUUGGUGGGGUAAAGGCCUACCAAGGCUUCGAUCAGUAGUUGGUCUGAGAGGACGGCCAGCCACACUGGGACUGAGACACGGCCCAGACUCCUACGGGAGGCAGCAGUGGGGAAUUUUGGACAAUGGGGGCAACCCUGAUCCAGCCAUGCCGCGUGAGUGAAGAAGGCCUUCGGGUUGUAAAGCUCUUUCAGUCGGGAAGAAAAGGUUGUGACUAAUAAUUGCAAUUCAUGACGGUACCGACAGAAGAAGCACCGGCUAACUACGUGCCAGCAGCCGCGGUAAUACGUAGGGUGCGAGCGUUAAUCGGAAUUACUGGGCGUAAAGGGUGCGCAGGCGGUUUUGUAAGUCAGAUGUGAAAUCCCCGGGCUUAACCUGGGAACU